GACAGCAGCCGCACGGGAAUACAGAGGGUGCGAGCGUUAAUCGGAUUUACUGGGCGUAAAGCGUGCGUAGGCGGCUUUUUAAGUCGGAUGUGAAAUCCCUGAGCUUAACUUAGGAAUUGCAUUCGAUACUGGGAAGCUAGAGUAUGGGAGAGGAUGGUAGAAUUCCAGGUGUAGCGGUGAAAUGCGUAGAGAUCUGGAGGAAUACCGAUGGCGAAGGCAGCCAUCUGGCCUAAUACUGACGCUGAGGUACGAAAGCAUGGGGAGCAAACAGGAUUAGAUACCCCCGUAGUCCCUGUCUCUUAUACA
RNAcentral lists this ribosomal RNA (306 nucleotides) under uncultured bacterium. RNAcentral's name for it is "partial 16S ribosomal RNA". It matches the Rfam family "Bacterial small subunit ribosomal RNA", at positions 507 to 808 of the family's 1533-position model. The record is from RNAcentral.